This 253-nucleotide ribosomal RNA is filed under the name uncultured bacterium. RNAcentral's name for it is "partial 16S ribosomal RNA". It matches the Rfam family "Bacterial small subunit ribosomal RNA", at positions 524 to 776 of the family's 1533-position model. The record is from RNAcentral.
UACGAAGGGGGCUAGCGUUGCUCGGAAUCACUGGGCGUAAAGGGUGCGUAGGCGGGUUUUUAAGUCAGGGGUGAAAUCCUGGAGCUCAACUCCAGAACUGCCUUUGAUACUGAAGAGCUUGAGCAAGCUAGGGGGCAAUGGAAUUCCCGGUGUAGUGGUGGAAUGCGUAGAUAUCGGGAGGAACACCAGUGGCGAAGGCGGUUGCCUGGGGCUUUGCUGACGCUGAUGCGCGAAAGCGUGGGGAGCGAUCCGG